RNAcentral lists this ribosomal RNA (433 nucleotides) under uncultured bacterium. RNAcentral describes it as "partial 16S ribosomal RNA". It matches the Rfam family "Bacterial small subunit ribosomal RNA", at positions 29 to 507 of the family's 1533-position model. The record is from RNAcentral.
AACGAACGCUGGCGGCAUGCCUAACACAUGCAAGUCGAACGAGACCUUCGGGUCUAGUGGCGCACGGGUGCGUAACGCGUGGGAACCUGCCCUUAGGUUCGGAAUAACUCCCCGAAAGGGGUGCUAAUACCGGAUAAUGUCUUCGGACCAAAGAUUUAUCGCCUUUGGAUGGGCCCGCGUUGGAUUAGCUAGUUGGUAGGGUAAAAGCCUACCAAGGCGACGAUCCAUAGCUGGUCUGAGAGGAUGAUCAGCCACACUGGGACUGAGACACGGCCCAGACUCCUACGGGAGGCAGCAGUGGGGAAUAUUGGACAAUGGGCGAAAGCCUGAACCAGCAAUGCCGCGUGGGUGAUGAAGGCCUUAGGGUUGUAAAGCUCUUUUACCCGGGAAGAUAAUGACAGUACCGGGAGAAUAAGCUCCCGCUAACUCCGUG